AUUGAACGCUGGCGGCAGGCCUAACACAUGCAAGUCGAGCGGAUGAAGGGAGCUUGCUCCUGGAUUCAGCGGCGGACGGGUGAGUAAUGCCUAGGAAUCUGCCUGGUAGUGGGGGAUAACGUCCGGAAACGGGCGCUAAUACCGCAUACGUCCUGAGGGAGAAAGUGGGGGAUCUUCGGACCUCACGCUAUCAGAUGAGCCUAGGUCGGAUUAGCUAGUUGGUGGGGUAAAGGCCUACCAAGGCGACGAUCCGUAACUGAUCUGAGAGGAUGAUCAGUCACACUGGAACUGAGACACGGUCCAGACUCCUACGGGAGGCAGCAGUGGGGAAUAUUGGACAAUGGGCGAAAGCCUGGUCCAGCCAUGCCGCGUGUGUGAAGAAGGUCUUCGGAUUGUAAAGCACUUUAAGUUGGGAGGAAGGGCAGUAAGUUAAUACCUUGCUGUUUUGACGUUACCAACAGAAUAAGCACCGGCUAACUUCGUG
Molecule: ribosomal RNA, 484 nt
Filed under: uncultured bacterium
Lineage: Bacteria
Description: partial 16S ribosomal RNA
Rfam family: Bacterial small subunit ribosomal RNA
Source: RNAcentral